GUCACCUGAGUGUCUUGAUGGUGCUCAAAGAUUCCUGAAAGAAGACGGAAUUUCAAUUCCAUCAUCGUAUACAAGUUUUUUCCAGCCUGUGACUGCUUCCAAAUUAUACAAUGAUAUCAAAUCUCACAAAGAUCUUGUGCACUUCGAAACUGCUUAUGUUGUCAAGUUCCACCGUGUAGCAAGGCUUACUUCUCCUCAACCAGUCUUUACAUUCAAUCAUCCGGAGGACUCAAAUAGGAAAAGCAAUCACCGGUAUACAAAGCUACGAUUUGAGAUACCCACUGACACUGGAUCAGCCCUGGUUCAUGGUUUUGCUGGUUAUUUUGAUGCUGUACUUUACAAAGAUGUUCAUCUUGGUAUUGAACCAUCAACAGCAACACCUAACAUGUUCAGCUGGUUCCCUAUAUUUUUCCCAUUGCGAACACCUAUGUGUGUUCAACCGGGUAUUCCUCUAGAAGUUCAUAUUUGGCGUUGUUGUGGUAUUUCAAAGGUUUGGUACGAGUGGGGCGUGACUUCUCCCAGCUCAUCUCCUAUACACAACUGCAAUGGUCGCUCAUACUGGGUUGGAUUGUAAGAGUUUCUUCAGUGUGUUUUGAGCUUUCGAGAUAGCAUGACGUGAUAUUGAACUUCAAAUGGGUAACAAGUCUAAUGUUACUUGUUAAAACUGUCGUAAUCAUGGCUUCAUAUCGCUCAUCUUUCGACUCCAACUGGUGCUCAACAUGCCAAAUUGAUUGUCUGUGCACUUCAUGGUGCUUUAAAUUUUUUCAGUAGAAAUUUUGUAGAGUUUAGGUUCAGAUAAACCUUAAAACUGCUGUAGUAAAAAUAAUCCUUUUCUUUUAUUGAAUGAAUGUAGUUUGG
RNAcentral lists this unclassified non-coding RNA (858 nucleotides) under Hevea brasiliensis (rubber tree). The record is from RNAcentral. Lineage: Eukaryota; Viridiplantae; Streptophyta; Magnoliopsida; Malpighiales; Euphorbiaceae.